RNAcentral lists this transfer RNA (75 nucleotides) under Escherichia coli. RNAcentral describes it as "tRNA-Ile". It matches the Rfam family "tRNA". Rfam says of the family: Transfer RNA (tRNA) molecules are approximately 80 nucleotides in length. Their secondary structure includes four short double-helical elements and three loops (D, anti-codon, and T loops). Lineage: Bacteria; Pseudomonadati; Pseudomonadota; Gammaproteobacteria; Enterobacterales; Enterobacteriaceae. The record is from RNAcentral.
UGUAGCUCAGGUGGUUAGAGCGCACCCCUGAUAAGGGUGAGGUCGGUGGUUCAAGUCCACUCAAAAUGAAUACCA